RNAcentral lists this ribosomal RNA (490 nucleotides) under uncultured bacterium. Its description in RNAcentral is "partial 16S ribosomal RNA". It matches the Rfam family "Bacterial small subunit ribosomal RNA", at positions 30 to 507 of the family's 1533-position model. The record is from RNAcentral.
AUUGAACGCUGGCGGCAUGCUUUACACAUGCAAGUCGAACGGCAGCGGGGUAGUGCUUGCACUACUGCCGGCGAGUGGCGAACGGGUGAGUAAUAUAUCGGAACGUACCGAGUAAUGGGGGAUAACCAAUCGAAAGAUUGGCUAAUACCGCAUACGUCCUGAGGGAGAGAGCGGGGGAUCGCAAGACCUCGCGUUAUUCGAGCGGCCGAUAACUGAUUAGCUAGUUGGUGGGGUAAAGGCCUACCAAGGCGACGAUCAGUAGCGGGUCUGAGAGGACGAUCCGCCACACUGGGACUGAGACACGGCCCAGACUCCUACGGGAGGCAGCAGUGGGGAAUUUUGGACAAUGGGGGCAACCCUGAUCCAGCCAUGCCGCGUGUAUGAAGAAGGCCUUCGGGUUGUAAAGUACUUUUGUUAGGGAAGAAAAGGGAAGUGCUAAUACCACUUUUUGCUGACGGUACCUAAAGAAUAAGCACCGGCUAACUACGUG